AAGGAAUAUUGGACAAUGGACGAAAGUCUGAUCCAGCCAUGCCGCGUGAAGGAUUAAGGUCCUCUGGAUUGUAAACUUCUUUUAUAUGGGGCGAAAAAAGGGUAUUCUUACUCACUUGACAGUACCAUAUGAAUAAGCACCGGCUAACUCCGUGCCAGCAGCCGCGGUAAUACGGAGGGUGCAAGCGUUAUCCGGAUUCACUGGGUUUAAAGGGUGCGUAGGUGGAUAGGUAAGUCAGGGGUGAAAUCUCGGAGCUUAACUCCGAAACUGCCUUUGAUACUAUCUAUCUUGAAUAUUGUGGAGGUUUGCGGAAUAUGUCAUGUAGCGGUGAAAUGCUUAGAUAUGACAUGGAACACCUAUUGCGAAGGCAGCAGGCUACACAUAUAUUGACACUGAGGCACGAAAGCGUGGGGAUCAAAC
This 420-nucleotide ribosomal RNA is filed under the name uncultured bacterium. RNAcentral describes it as "bacterial SSU rRNA". It matches the Rfam family "Bacterial small subunit ribosomal RNA", at positions 356 to 773 of the family's 1533-position model. The record is from RNAcentral.